AACGCACCUUGCGCUCCUUGGCAUUCCGAGGAGCAUGCCUGUUUGAGUGUCAUUAAAUCAUCAACCAUCUCAUCUUUGAGAGGGUUGGACUUGGAGGUUCUGCUGGCCCUCUCCGGGACCGGCUCCUCUGAAAAGCAUUAGCAGGGGGGCUCUUGUGCGAUCUGCAGCCUUGUGUGAUAGCUAUUUACACUCGGCGUGGUCACAUUCACCCAGCUUACAGCCGUCUCCGGACAACCUUUUGACCACUUGACCUCAAAUCAGGUAGGACUACCCGCUGAACUUAA
This 284-nucleotide unclassified non-coding RNA is filed under the name uncultured fungus. RNAcentral describes it as "partial contains 5.8S ribosomal RNA, internal transcribed spacer 2, and large subunit ribosomal RNA". The stretch from base 1 to 52 matches the Rfam family "5.8S ribosomal RNA", at positions 103 to 154 of the family's 154-position model. Lineage: Eukaryota; Fungi. The record is from RNAcentral.